UACGUAGGGGGCAAGCGUUGUCCGGAAUUAUUGGGCGUAAAGAGCUCGUAGGCGGUUCGUCACGUCGGCUGUGAAAACCUGAGGCUCAACCUCAGGCCUGCAGUCGAUACGGGCGGACUCGAGUUCGGCAGGGGAGACUGGAAUUCCUGGUGUAGCGGUGAAAUGCGCAGAUAUCAGGAGGAACACCGGUGGCGAAGGCGGGUCUCUGGGCCGAUACUGACGCUGAGGAGCGAAAGCGUGGGGAGCGAACAGG
This 253-nucleotide ribosomal RNA is filed under the name uncultured bacterium. RNAcentral describes it as "partial 16S ribosomal RNA". It matches the Rfam family "Bacterial small subunit ribosomal RNA", at positions 524 to 776 of the family's 1533-position model. The record is from RNAcentral.